RNAcentral lists this ribosomal RNA (700 nucleotides) under uncultured bacterium. RNAcentral describes it as "bacterial SSU rRNA". It matches the Rfam family "Bacterial small subunit ribosomal RNA", at positions 166 to 882 of the family's 1533-position model. The record is from RNAcentral.
AUACCGCAUAAGCCCACAGGUCGGCAUCGACCAGAGGGAAAAGGAGCAAUCCGCUUUGAGAUGGCCUCGCGUCCGAUUAGCUAGUUGGUGAGGUAAUGGCCCACCAAGGCGACGAUCGGUAGCCGGACUGAGAGGUUGAACGGCCACAUUGGGACUGAGACACGGCCCAGACUCCUACGGGAGGCAGCAGUGGGGAAUAUUGCACAAUGGGGGAAACCCUGAUGCAGCGACGCCGCGUGGAGGAAGAAGGUCUUCGGAUUGUAAACUCCUGUUGUUGAGGAAGAUAAUGACGGUACUCAACAAGGAAGUGACGGCUAACUACGUGCCAGCAGCCGCGGUAAAACGUAGGUCACAAGCGUUGUCCGGAAUUACUGGGUGUAAAGGGAGCGCAGGCGGGAAGACAAGUUGGAAGUGAAAUCUAUGGGCUCAACCCAUAAACUGCUUUCAAAACUGUUUUUCUUGAGUAGUGCAGAGGUAGGCGGAAUUCCCGGUGUAGCGGUGGAAUGCGUAGAUAUCGGGAGGAACACCAGUGGCGAAGGCGGCCUACUGGGCACCAACUGACGCUGAGGCUCGAAAGUGUGGGUAGCAAACAGGAUUAGAUACCCUGGUAGUCCACACCGUAAACGAUGAUUACUAGGUGUUGGAGGAUUGACCCCUUCAGUGCCGCAGUUAACACAAUAAGUAAUCCACCUGGGGAGUA